UCAAGGUAUGAAGGGCGUACGGUGGAUGCCUUGGCACUAGGAGCCGAUGAAGGACGCGACGAACAGCGAUAUGCUUCGGGGAGCAGUAAGUAUGCUUUGAUCCGAGGAUUUCCGAAUGGGGGAACCCACCAUCCGUAAUGGGAUGGGACAUGUUACGUGAAUACAUAGCGUAGCGUGAGGCAGACCCGGGGAACUGAAACAUCUAAGUACCCGGAGGAAGAGAAAGCAAAUGCGAUUCCCUGAGUAGCGGCGAGCGAAACGGGAACAGCCCAAACCGGAGAGCAUGCUCUCCGGGGUUGUAGGACACUCUAUACGGAGUCAAAAAGGAAGACAGUAGGUGAAUGACCUGGAAAGGUCGGCCGAAGAAGGUGACAGCCCUGUAGCUGAAACUGUUUUCCCUCCAGAGUGGAUCCUGAGUACGGCGGGACACGUGAAACCCCGUCGGAAUCCGGGAGGACCAUCUCCCAAGGCUAAAUACUCCCUAGUGACCGAUAGUGAACCAGUACCGUGAGGGAAAGGUGAAAAGCACCCCGGAAGGGGAGUGAAAUAGAUCCUGAAACCGUAUGCCUACAAGUAGUCAGAGCCCGUUAAUGGGUGAUGGCGUGCCUUUUGUAGAAUGAACCGGCGAGUUACGAUAGCGCGCGAGGUUAAGCUGAUGAGGCGGAGCCGUAGCGAAAGCGAGUCUGAAUAGGGCGCCAUAGUGCGUUGUCGUAGACCCGAAACCAGGUGAUCUACCCAUGUCCAGGAUGAAGGUCAGGUAACACUGACUGGAGGUCCGAACCCACGCACGUUGAAAAGUGCGGGGAUGAGGUGUGGGUAGCGGUGAAAUGCCAAUCGAACCUGGAGAUAGCUGGUUCUCCCCGAAAUAGCUUUAGGGCUAGCCUCGAGGUUGAGAGUUCCGGAGGUAGAGCACUGAUUGGACUAGGGGCCCCCACAGGGUUACCGAAUUCAGUUAAACUCCGAAUGCCGGCAACUUAUACUCGGGAGUCAGACUGCGAGUGAUAAGAUCCGUAGUCAAGAGGGAAACAGCCCAGACCGCCAGCUAAGGUCCCAAAGUGUAUGUUAAGUGGAAAAGGAUGUGGCGCUGCCUAGACAGCUAGGAUGUUGGCUUAGAAGCAGCCACCAUUCAAAGAGUGCGUAAUAGCUCACUAGUCGAGUGGCGCCGCGCCGAAAAUGUAACGGGGCUAAACAUACCACCGAAGCUGCGGAUUCCGUAAGGAAUGGUAGGGGAGCGUUCCAAACCGCUGUGAAGCUGUACCGGAAGGAGCAGUGGAGCGUUUGGAAGUGAGAAUGCCGGUGUGAGUAGCGAAAAGAGGGGUGAGAAUCCCCUCCGUCGAAAGCCCAAGGUUUCCUGAGGAAGGCUCGUCCGCUCAGGGUUAGUCUGGACCUAAGCCGAGGCCGAAAGGCGUAGGCGAUGGAUAACAGGUUGAUAUUCCUGUACCACCGAUCCACCGUUUGAACAAUGGGGGGACGCAGGAGGAUAGUGACGCAUGCGGAUGGAAGUGCAUGUGUAAGUUUCGAGAUCGUCUGAUUGGCAAAUCCGUCAGGCACCAAGAUCGAGGAACGACGCGGAGUCCCCUAGGGACGAAGGUCACGAUUUCACACUGCCAAGAAAAGCCUCUAGUGAGGUGGAAGGUGCCAGUACCGUAAACCGACACAGGUAGGCGGGAUGAGAAUUCUAAGACGCGCGGGAUAACUCUCGUUAAGGAACUCGGCAAAAUGGUCCCGUAACUUCGGGAGAAGGGACGCUCUACAUGAGUAGAGCCGCAGUGAAUAGGCCCAAACGACUGUUUAGCAAAAACACAGGUCUCUGCUAAAUCGCAAGAUGACGUAUAGGGGCUGACGCCUGCCCGGUGCUGGAAGGUUAAGGGGAUGGGUUAGCGCAAGCGAAGCUUUGAACCGAAGCCCCAGUAAACGGCGGCCGUAACUAUAACGGUCCUAAGGUAGCGAAAUUCCUUGUCGGGUAAGUUCCGACCCGCACGAAAGGCGUAAC
RNAcentral lists this ribosomal RNA (1993 nucleotides) under museum specimen metagenome. RNAcentral describes it as "bacterial LSU rRNA". It matches the Rfam family "Bacterial large subunit ribosomal RNA", at positions 3 to 2005 of the family's 2925-position model. The record is from RNAcentral.